RNAcentral lists this ribosomal RNA (546 nucleotides) under Saccharomyces cerevisiae (brewer's yeast). RNAcentral describes it as "eukaryotic LSU rRNA". It matches the Rfam family "Eukaryotic large subunit ribosomal RNA", at positions 61 to 610 of the family's 3401-position model. The record is from RNAcentral. Lineage: Eukaryota; Fungi; Ascomycota; Saccharomycetes; Saccharomycetales; Saccharomycetaceae.
GAAACCAACCGGGAUUGCCUUAGUAACGGCGAGUGAAGCGGCAAAAGCUCAAAUUUGAAAUCUGGUACCUUCGGUGCCCGAGUUGUAAUUUGGAGAGGGCAACUUUGGGGCCGUUCCUUGUCUAUGUUCCUUGGAACAGGACGUCAUAGAGGGUGAGAAUCCCGUGUGGCGAGGAGUGCGGUUCUUUGUAAAGUGCCUUCGAAGAGUCGAGUUGUUUGGGAAUGCAGCUCUAAGUGGGUGGUAAAUUCCAUCUAAAGCUAAAUAUUGGCGAGAGACCGAUAGCGAACAAGUACAGUGAUGGAAAGAUGAAAAGAACUUUGAAAAGAGAGUGAAAAAGUACGUGAAAUUGUUGAAAGGGAAGGGCAUUUGAUCAGACAUGGUGUUUUGUGCCCUCUGCUCCUUGUGGGUAGGGGAAUCUCGCAUUUCACUGGGCCAGCAUCAGUUUUGGUGGCAGGAUAAAUCCAUAGGAAUGUAGCUUGCCUCGGUAAGUAUUAUAGCCUGUGGGAAUACUGCCAGCUGGGACUGAGGACUGCGACGUAAGUCAAG